Molecule: long non-coding RNA, 430 nt
Filed under: Gossypium raimondii (Peruvian cotton)
Lineage: Eukaryota; Viridiplantae; Streptophyta; Magnoliopsida; Malvales; Malvaceae
Description: long non-coding RNA (GRAI_LNC009132)
Source: RNAcentral
UAUUGGGUUCAAGUCCCACAUUUGGAAAUUUUCUUAUUUUAGAUCUAAGUCUUCUCCCUAUCGGGUGGGCUUAUAUAACAUUGUUUGUAAAUUCAUGUUAGAAUGAGCCUGCUGGUUCGAGUGGUACGGAGUUAGUGUGUUGGAGGUCCUGUGUUUGAAUCUCUGCAUAAGUAGAGGUGACAAUUUUUGUUUCGGUUGGCUGAGAAAGUUUGGAUGGACUUAAAAUUCUGAGUUGGUUGGGUUGUUAGUGGAUGUAGUGGAAUUGUGUUCAAAUUAAUUAAUUUUAUUUUUUAUCUUAUUAUUUUUAUUAUUUUUAUUUUUUCUCUCUUCCCAAAUACGUUUUGAUGUUUUUUCUCCAAAUUCCCCUUCUAAACAUUUUCUUUUUUAUUUCUUCUGUCUUUGAUUUAUGUUUGCUAUACUGUUGUUCAAU